AUAACAAUUUUGAAGGUGACUCGAUGCGCAUGCGCUAGUUUUAUCCCCAGUAAAAUCUGUGGGUGGCAUACCUGUACAACUGCAUGAGAAUCCGGUGUGAUUGUACUAUCUUUUUCAAAAUUGUUAUAUCUGUUAGUCCGACAGCUGGGGUCACAGAGGUUAUCUUUUUAAACUUUAAAUUCAGAUGGUGAAUAUACAGUGGAAUUACAAGUGCGGACGUGUUUUCCGUUUCUGAAUAUUUUUUGAAGCCGCCGAUUGCAUCACAAUCGACAAUCGUUUUUGUGAUACACUUUUUGAUUUUCCCAUACACAAGUAGCCUUUAAAGUCGUGGGAGACGCGGGCGAAAGAGAAUCUGAAAAUAGACAAUGUUUCGACUAACGCGGAGAACACUGUGAAGAAACCCGCUCUGGAUGCUGAGUUCUUCGAUGUUUAUAAAAAUACUAAUGGUGUCGUCAUCGUCAUGGAACCAAUUGAGCUGUCAACUGAGACCUAGAAGCCUUAUUCUCAAUGGCGAAGCCAUUAACGAAAAAGGAGGUGGAAUAUUUUCUCCUAAAGCAGGCUCAGGAUAUUACGUAAUUACGCCUUUCAGAUUGGAGGAUCCAUUACUAUCAUGGUGAAUCGUGGAUGGAUUCCUAGAAGUGAUCGUUCAACGUUUAAAAUGGAAAAGAAGAUUACAGAUCCCAUAGAAAUUAUUGGCAUUAUCAGAGCAACAAAAAAGCGACCUCCAUUUGUACCUAACAAUGCUCCUGGGAAAGGUGUAUGGCAUUUCAGAGAUUUAGAUGCAAUGGCAAAGGUAGCAGAAGCAGUACCUGUGUGCAUAGAAUUAUUAGCCGGAUAUGGCGCACCUCAAGGUCCGGUCGGAGGACAGACAAAAGUAACUUUAAGGAACGAACAUUCAAAUUAUAUGAUCACCUGGUAUUCGUUGUCUGCCUGUACGAGCUACAUGUGAUUUCGACAAUUUGUACAAAAAUUACCUCUUCUUUAAAUGCAUAGAUGUUCACCCGAUAUACAUAUAAUGAUAUACAUACCGAAAAGAUAUGUAAAAAAAGAAUGUAAAUAUAUGUACAUUGUCAUAAAAAAUUUUUUUAUUGUGAUUACACGUUAUAUUUUUUAUAUUUCAUUUUUUUACAUACAACUUUAUGGAAAUGAAACAAUGUUGACUUAUGCGAAUCAAACACGUACAAAACUGAAAAAAUAAACGUAAUUUGUAGAAUUCUUUAUUUGAAUGUAAAUGUGACAACUGUAAAUGUAUUCUUUAUAUGAGAAAUAUCGUUUAAUUGUUUUCCUGAAGAAUAAAACUUACUGUUAGACCUUUU
Solenopsis invicta (red fire ant) is the source of this 1316-nucleotide RNA transcript. It is a transcript of the gene named surfeit locus protein 1, with no coding region annotated. The transcript is spliced from 6 exons. NCBI's taxonomy places the organism in Eukaryota, Metazoa, Arthropoda, Insecta, Hymenoptera, Formicidae. The record is from RefSeq and is a predicted model, not a curated record.